AAUAGAUGAUGCCGUUGACUUUUGAGUACAUGUUUGAUCAUUCGUCUUAUUCAGAAAACUUAUGUAAUUAUUAUUUAUUUUGUUGUGAGUUGUUUUAUCACUAAGAGUAUUUUAAGCACGAUUUAUAUCUCAUGCAUUUGCAUAAAAUUUUUGAAUAAGACGAAUGGUCAAACAUGUGUCUAAAAGUCAACGGCUGAA
RNAcentral lists this microRNA precursor (198 nucleotides) under Oryza punctata. Its description in RNAcentral is "MIR812 microRNA precursor family". It matches the Rfam family "MIR812 microRNA precursor family". The record is from Rfam by way of RNAcentral. Lineage: Eukaryota; Viridiplantae; Streptophyta; Magnoliopsida; Poales; Poaceae.